GCUGGCGUAGCUCAGUCGGUAGAGCGAGUCGCCGCGAGGGGACCGGCGGAGGUUCGAUCCCUCCCGCCAGCG
Molecule: transfer RNA, 72 nt
Filed under: Acetobacter sp.
Lineage: Bacteria; Pseudomonadati; Pseudomonadota; Alphaproteobacteria; Acetobacterales; Acetobacteraceae
Description: tRNA-OTHER
Rfam family: tRNA
About the family: Transfer RNA (tRNA) molecules are approximately 80 nucleotides in length. Their secondary structure includes four short double-helical elements and three loops (D, anti-codon, and T loops).
Source: RNAcentral